UAGUCCACACAGUAAACGAUGAAUACUCGCUGUUUGCGAUAUACAGUAAGCGGCCAAGCGAAAGCAUUAAGUAUUCCACCUGGGGAGUACGCCGGCAACGGUGAAACUCAAAGGAAUUGACGGGGGCCCGCACAAGCGGAGGAACAUGUGGUUUAAUUCGAUGAUACGCGAGGAACCUUACCCGGGCUUAAAUUGCACCUGAAUAAUGUGGAAACAUGUUAGCCGUAAGGCAGGUGUGAAGGUGCUGCAUGGUUGUCGUCAGCUCGUGCCGUGAGGUGUCGGCUUAAGUGCCAUAACGAGCGCAACCCUUAUCUUCAGUUACUAACAGGUCAUGCUGAGGACUCUGGAGAGACUGCCGUCGUAAGAUGUGAGGAAGGUGGGGAUGACGUCAAAUCAGCACGGCCCUUACGUCCGGGGCUACACACGUGUUACAAUGGGAGGUACAGAAGGCCGCUACCUGGCGACAGGAUGCCAAUCCCCAAAACCUCUCUCAGUUCGGAUCGAAGUCUGCAACCCGACUUCGUGAAGCUGGAUUCGCUAGUAAUCGCGCAUCAGCCAUGGCGCGGUGAAUACGUUCCCGGGCCUUGCACUCACCGCCCGUC
This 602-nucleotide ribosomal RNA is filed under the name uncultured bacterium. RNAcentral describes it as "bacterial SSU rRNA". It matches the Rfam family "Bacterial small subunit ribosomal RNA", at positions 791 to 1398 of the family's 1533-position model. The record is from RNAcentral.